AUUGAACGCUGGCGGCAGGCCUAACACAUGCAAGUCGAACGGUAACAGAAAGCAGCUUGCUGCCUUGCUGACGAGUGGCGGACGGGUGAGUAAUGUCUGGGAAACUGCCUGAUGGAGGGGGAUAACUACUGGAAACGGUAGCUAAUACCGCAUAACGUCGCAAGACCAAAGAGGGGGACCUUCGGGCCUCUUGCCAUCGGAUGUGCCCAGAUGGGAUUAGCUUGUUGGUGGGGUAACGGCUCACCAAGGCGACGACCCCUAGCUGGUCUGAGAGGAUGACACGCCCCACUGGAACAGAGAGACGGGCCAGACACCCACGGGGGGCGGCAGUGGGGAAUAUUGCACAGAGGGGGCAAGACUGAUGCAGCGAUGCCGCGGGGAUGAAAAAGGCCCUUGGGGUGUAAAGUUCUUUUAGCGGGGGGGAAGGGGGUAAAGUUUAUACCUUUGUGCAUUGAGGUUUCCCCCAGAAAAAACACCCGGUAACACCGG
RNAcentral lists this ribosomal RNA (489 nucleotides) under uncultured bacterium. RNAcentral describes it as "partial 16S ribosomal RNA". It matches the Rfam family "Bacterial small subunit ribosomal RNA", at positions 29 to 506 of the family's 1533-position model. The record is from RNAcentral.